CCUACGGGAGACUGCAGUGAGGAAUAUUGGUCAAUGGACGAGAGUCUGAACCAGCCAAGUAGCGUGAAGGAUGACUGCCCUAUGGGUUGUAAACUUCUUUUAUAUGGGAAUAAAAUGUUCCACGUGUGGGAUUUUGUAUGUACCAUAUGAAUAAGGAUCGGCUAACUCCGUGCCAGCAGCCGCGGUAAUACGGAGGAUCCGAGCGUUAUCCGGAUUUAUUGGGUUUAAAGGGAGCGUAGGUGGAUUGUUAAGUCAGUUGUGAAAGUUUGCGGCUCAACCGUAAAAUUGCAGUUGAGACUGGCAGUCGUGAGUACAGUAGAGGUGGGCGGAAUUCGUGGUGUAGCGGUGAAAUGCUUAGAUAUCACGAAGAACUCCGAUUGCGAAGGCAGCUCACUGGACUGCAACUGACACUGAGGCUCGAAAGUGUGGGUAUCAAACAGGAUUAGAUACCCGGGUAGUC
RNAcentral lists this ribosomal RNA (460 nucleotides) under uncultured bacterium. RNAcentral describes it as "partial 16S ribosomal RNA". It matches the Rfam family "Bacterial small subunit ribosomal RNA", at positions 338 to 795 of the family's 1533-position model. The record is from RNAcentral.